RNAcentral lists this unclassified non-coding RNA (240 nucleotides) under soil metagenome. RNAcentral describes it as "partial contains 5.8S ribosomal RNA, internal transcribed spacer 2, and large subunit ribosomal RNA". The record is from RNAcentral.
AACGGUCUAUACCUGCGGUACCUGCGGAAGGAUCAUUAAAGAGUUUAACUACUCAAACCAUUGUGAACCUUACCUCAACCGUUGCUUCGGCGGGCGGGCCCGGGCCAAGCCCGGCGCCCCCCCGGCCCCUCGCGGGCGCCCGCCGGAGGUUAACCGAACCCUUGAAUUGUAUGGCCUCUCUGAGUCUUCUGUACUGAAUAAGUCAAAACUUUCAACAAUGGAUCUCUAGAUCGGAAGAGC